UCUAGCCUUAGCUCAGUCGGUAGAGCACGAGACUGUUAAACUGGGGGUCGUGGGUUCGAGUACCACGUUCGCG
This 73-nucleotide transfer RNA is filed under the name Dreissena polymorpha. RNAcentral's name for it is "tRNA-Asn". The stretch from base 9 to 66 matches the Rfam family "tRNA", at positions 8 to 63 of the family's 71-position model. Rfam says of the family: Transfer RNA (tRNA) molecules are approximately 80 nucleotides in length. Their secondary structure includes four short double-helical elements and three loops (D, anti-codon, and T loops). Lineage: Eukaryota; Metazoa; Mollusca; Bivalvia; Myida; Dreissenidae. The record is from RNAcentral.